RNAcentral lists this ribosomal RNA (262 nucleotides) under uncultured Mollicutes bacterium. Its description in RNAcentral is "partial 16S ribosomal RNA". It matches the Rfam family "Bacterial small subunit ribosomal RNA", at positions 1119 to 1382 of the family's 1533-position model. The record is from RNAcentral. Lineage: Bacteria; Bacillati; Mycoplasmatota; Mollicutes.
UACCAUUCAGUUGAGGACUCUAAUGAGACUGCCAACGACAAGUUGGAGGAAGGUGGGGAUGACGUCAAAUCAUCAUGCCCUUUAUGACCUGGGCUACAAACGUACUACAAUGGCCAAUACAAAGAGAUGCGAAGCGGUGACGUGGAGCGAACCUCAGAAAGUUGGUCUCAGUUCAGAUUGAAGUCUGCAACUCGACUUCAUGAAGGCGGAAUCGCUAGUAAUCGCGGGUCAGCAGACCGCGGUGAAUACGUUCCCGGGUUUU